AAUUGUAUCAUCCCAAAAUCUUUUUCAAAACUAUGACAAAAAAAAAAAAAUCUUUUUCAAAACCAUCAAUCGUAUCUUACCGGACCAACAAAAUUAAAUCUCCCCAAAUCUCUGUCCUCUAGAUCAAAAAUAAAGGAGCUUGAAAUUCUUUGCUGAUUGAUAAGGGGAAGAAGGUAGAUAGCUCAGAGAAAAGGAAGAGGGGGACGGGAAGCAGUAAAAAUCGUUUUGCUGUGAACACUGCUGGACUGAUCCUGUUCAAGCACAGUUGCUGCCCUAUUUUGCAUAAGUCGAGUGCGGUAGAGCAAUUACCUAUCCCUUUUUCCAUGCAUCUUAAUAUCCAGCUUCAGAGUCACUGUUCUCAUUGAAGAUGAGACUGAUCAAGCACAUGCAGUCUUAAUGGGCAAAGAAGCAGAAGAAAUCUUUGGAAUCUCAUGCGAAGACUUGAUUAUCAGGAAAAACUGCAAAAAACCAAAGGAUCAGACCACAAGAAAUUCUUCAAUUAGAAGGACAGUCAAACUGCUGAAAUUGAAGCCAGGAACAAAAAGAGAUUUCCUUAUAAAGGGGAUAUACAAAGAUGUUCACAAGUUCACACCAACCCAA
Rosa rugosa (rugosa rose) is the source of this 600-nucleotide long non-coding RNA. RefSeq lists it as uncharacterized. Lineage: Eukaryota; Viridiplantae; Streptophyta; Magnoliopsida; Rosales; Rosaceae. The record is from RefSeq and is a predicted model, not a curated record. The transcript is spliced from 4 exons.